AUUCUGGUUGAUCCUACAGUAUAUACGCUUGUCUCAAAGGUUAAGCCAUGCAUGUCUAAGUACAACAUAAAUGAAUGUGAAACCGCAUAAGGCUCAGUAUAACAGCUAUAAUUCCAAGAUCAUCUCACACUAGUUACUUGGAUAACUGUGGAAAUCCAGAGUAAUACAUGCAACAUGCCGGGACUGUUGCCUCGCGGGUAGCUGACUGGUGCACUUAUUAGUUAAACCAUCGCCUCCGGCGGCUUGAGUUGAAGUCUGGAUAAGCGCAGAUCGUAUGGUCGCUUGUCGACUGACGACAGAUCUUUCAAAUGUCUGCCCUAUCCAACUAUUGAUGGUAGUGUAGAGGACUACCAUUGUUGCGACGGGUUACGGGAGAUCAGGGUUCGAUUCCGGAGAGGAGCCUGAGAAAUGGCUACCACAUCAAGGAAGGCAGCAGGCGCGUAAAUUACCCAUCCCAGUACGGGGAGGUAGUGACGAGAAAUGAACAAUAUGGACCUCUCUAACGAUGGUCCAUAAUUGGAAUGAGUUGAGUAUAAAUCCUUCAACAAGGAUCAAGUGGAGGGCAAGUCUGGUGCCAGCAGCCCGGUAAUUCCAGCUCCACUAGCGUAUAUUAAAGUUGUUUGCGGUUUAAAACGUUCGAGUUGAUUGCCCGUCCAGACACGUGACCGCCACGGGCGCCGCGUUACACGCCGGGGCCGUUCGUGCGCGCCGCUCACGGCCUUCGAUCACAAUUGUGUACUUGGGCGUUACUCUGUGAACGAGUACCGUGCUUACCGGUUACUCCGGCACGGGCUCCUCAUGUGCCAAGAUACUCACAUUUACCUUGAACAAAUUAGAGUGUCAAAGCAGGCUAAGACAAAGCGUCCGGCCCCCGUGGGGUGGAUCGUUGGCCGAGAUAAUCUUGCAUGAAUAAUGGAAUAUGACCUCGGUUUAUACGAUUUCGUUGCGUUUGUCAGAAACCUAGAGGUAUGAUUACAGAAGUAGUUGGGGCAUGUGUAUUACGGCGCGAAGAGGGUGUGAAAUUCGUAGACCGUCGUAGGACCAACUGAAGCGAAAGCGUUUGCCAUGGAUGCUUUCUUUAAUCAAGAACGAAAGUUAGAGGAUCGAAGGCCGAUUAGAUACCGCCCUAGUUCUAACCGUAACGAUGCCAAUAGCAAUUGGGAGACGCUACCCCUAUUCGGUGCUCUCAGUCGCUUCGGGAAACCAAAAUCGGGUUCCGGGGGAAGUAUGGUUGCAAAGUUGAAACUAAAGGAAAUUGACGGAAGGGCACCACAAGAAAGUGGAGCUUGCGGCUUAAUUUGACUCAAACGCGGAAAUUUACCAGUCCAACUUAUCGAGGUAAGAAGAUUGAUAGCUCUUUCUCAAAUUUAGGGUAGUGGUGCAUGGCCGUUCUUUGUUCGUGGAAUGAUUUGUCUGCGUUAAUUCGAUAAGCAACGUGCAAACAUUGCUAACUAGAACGCUGUCAGCAGUGCGCCUCCGGGCGCACUGACGUUACACGCGGCGGCGCUUCACGGGCGGUCGUCGGCUACGUGUUGCCUGCUUAGCGGGACAAUGUGUUUAGCAAGCUGAGAAUGAGCGAUAACAGGUCCGUGAUGCCCUUAGAUCUUCUGGGGCUGCACGCGUGCUACAAUGUGGGUGCGCGCGCAGCGUGUUCUCGCCAAUAGGCGCCCCCAUUCCGAGAGGAACGGGAAAAUCACUAAAAUGCCCAUCUAGUCGGGAUUGGGGACUGCAACGGUCCCAUGAACCUGGAAUUUCUAGUAAGCACUAGUCAUUACUAGUGCUGAUUACGUCCCUGCCCUUUGUACACACCGCCCGUCGCUACUACCGAUGGAUUAUUUAGUGAGGUUUCUGGAGGCUUACCUUUCGCGGUUCUUCGUGAGCUGCAGCUGGCAGGCUAAUUGACCGAACAUGAUGAUUUAGAGAAGUUAAAAGUCGUAACAAGGUUUCCGUUAGGUGAACCUGGCCAACCGAAUUCAUGU
This 1979-nucleotide ribosomal RNA is filed under the name Anopheles funestus (African malaria mosquito). Its description in RNAcentral is "eukaryotic small subunit ribosomal RNA". It matches the Rfam family "Eukaryotic small subunit ribosomal RNA". The record is from RNAcentral. Lineage: Eukaryota; Metazoa; Arthropoda; Insecta; Diptera; Culicidae.